CGAAGGAUCCAAGCGUUAUCCGGAUUUAUGGGUUUAAAGGGUGCGUAGGCGGCUUAUUAAGUCAGUGGUGAAAGCUCCAUGCUUAACAUGGAAAUUGCCAUUGAUACUGAUGAGCUUGAGUACACUUGAAGUGGGCGGAAUAUGUCAUGUAGAGGUGAAAUUCUUAGAGAUGACAUAGAACACCGAUUGCGAAGGCAGCUCACUAAAUUGUAACUGACGCUGAGGCACGAAAGCGUGGGGAUCAGACAGGAUUAGAUACCCUGGUAGUCCACGCCCUAAACGAUGAUUACUAGAUGUGUGCAAUAUACCGUACGCGUCACAGCUAAAGCGUUAAGUAAUCCACCUGGGGAGUACGGCCGCAAGGCUG
Molecule: ribosomal RNA, 367 nt
Filed under: uncultured organism
Description: bacterial SSU rRNA
Rfam family: Bacterial small subunit ribosomal RNA
Source: RNAcentral